CAACGCCGCGUGAGCGAUGAAGGCCUUCGGGUCGUAAAGCUCUGUUGUUAAGGAAGAACAAGUACGAGAGUAACUGCUCGUACCUUGACGGUACUUAACGAGAAAGCCACGGCUAACUACGUGCCAGCAGCCGCGGUAAUACGUAGGUGGCGAGCGUUAUCCGGAAUUAUUGGGCGUAAAGCGCGCGCAGGCGGUUUCUUAAGUCUGAUGUGAAAGCCCACGGCUCAACCGUGGAGGGUCAUUGGAAACUGGGGAACUUGAGUGCAGAAGAGGAAAGCGGAAUUCCACGUGUAGCGGUGAAAUGCGUAGAGAUGUGGAGGAACACCAGUGGCGAAGGCGGCUUUCUGGUCUGUAACUGGCGCUGAGGCGCGAAAGCGUGGGGAGCAAACAGGAUUAGAUACCCUGGUAGUCCACGCCGUAAACGAUGAGUGCUAAGUGUUAGAGGGUUUCCGCCCUUUAGUGCUGAAGUUAACGCAUUAAGCACUCCGCCUGGGGAGUACGGUCGCAAGACUG
RNAcentral lists this ribosomal RNA (513 nucleotides) under uncultured Bacillota bacterium. RNAcentral's name for it is "bacterial SSU rRNA". It matches the Rfam family "Bacterial small subunit ribosomal RNA", at positions 392 to 896 of the family's 1533-position model. Lineage: Bacteria; Bacillati; Bacillota. The record is from RNAcentral.